Long non-coding RNA from Pomacea canaliculata, 1612 nucleotides. RefSeq lists it as uncharacterized. The record is from RefSeq and is a predicted model, not a curated record. Lineage: Eukaryota; Metazoa; Mollusca; Gastropoda; Architaenioglossa; Ampullariidae. The transcript is spliced from 3 exons.
UUGAGAGAUGGAUGUGGUCACGUGACUACAAGAGGCUCGGCAGUGUUGCCAGUCGGCCAAGUCGCUCUGCAGGCCUCUUGCCUCGUGUCUGGUGAGGUGGACCUUACAGGGCUGUCACACACCGUGUCAAAGCAUUCGUCGAUCGAAUCUUCUGGAAAGUGGUUGUUGUGGUCGGAACUUCCUAGCACCGUAAAAAUGCAUCCAACAAACACUUAACGAGGUUUAGCGCUGAUUUGUGGAACCUCUUGUCAGUGAUUUACUGAAGGACCGGCAAGAAAUUCAACAAUUUGGAUUUCACGCUGAAAUUACUGGAUUACCAUCGUUUGGCUCAAUUUACUCGGACUCCAGCCAAGAGCAUUUAAGUUUCGUACUUUGCAGAAGUGUAGAUGAGGGAGGAAAAGCUUGUGCUCUCAGUCCAGCUGGGUCACUCCUCGCCGCAGUGUUGUGACAGCGCGCUGCAGCAGGUGACGAGCAUGUAACGGUGACGUGCUGACAGGGUGGAAGAUGGAUGACCUGGAUGACGGCACGUCACCUCUUCCGACAAACAAAACCAGCUUGGACGGAUUUGAGGAGAAGAGACACCUGGUCAAGUGGAUUAUACCCCCCAUAGUGCUGGUAACCUUUGCCAUCUUCCUCGUCAUCUUCAUCUACAACGCCUGCAUCCUCAAGCACCGCCCGCCUCCCAGUCGCACGAGAGUGGAGCAGGUGAAUGAGCAAUGGCAGACAACCUUCGACGGGGCCCAACGCCGUGCGGGAAGGAGGAGAACCCCGACAAAUCUCGGGUGGUGAGGUUUGAAGGGGUGCAGGUGGUGAAAGAAUCCUAGCAUCGUGUCAACCAGGUAUCCGAGUUCACCAAGACCUCAGGAAGACCUCACGAGUCUCCCCGUCUCUCCGUCACCAGCAGAUGUUCGAUCAAACUAAUCAUUCUGUGGGACUCGUCCCUACAGUCGGGAGGAAGAGAGAGAACACUAGUACUAUUCUCAAGAACGAGUUAAUCCUUACGGAGAUUGUUUUCUGUUCUCUCCUGUUAACCAGAGUCGUGGUCGUCUUGGAACCUCGAAUCUUGCUGGGCUAGGUUGUGCUAGGCUAGGUUGUGCUAGGCUAGGUUGUGCUAGGCUAGGCUAGGCUGUGCUAGGCUAGGUUGUGCUAGGUUAUUAUUACUGACGAGGGAAGGUCUUGAAGUCGCAGAUGUCAUCAAGGUGCAGCACUCACCUCGUCCAAUGCCGAGCUUCUGAAUGUUCACUACUUAAGUUCGGAUCAUGGGACCGAGAAUAAGUAAUAAAAUGUUCGCUGACGACACUAUGAACAGUGAGACCACUUUAGGUCUCUCUCUCUCUGAACCACACCCCUACCCCACCCUGUACACGAGUACACACGAACUAUUGUACACUCGCACGUGCAUGAGUGCUACUGUGUUACUGGCUUGAACUUUAACCCUUGUAUGUUUAUCGAUGCGAUCCUCGAACGCCUAACACGUUUUUUUUACAAUAGCUUAAUCCCUCUGUAUCUGUCACAAUAUUAUUUUUGUACAGUCCACAUACAAUGUCUGUAAUAAUACCAAAGCAUGUAAAAGAAGAACAUGGUCAAUAAACAACAGCAGUCAAUGAACAUU